GUUCUCAAAGACUGAGUUCAAGGAGCUCUACGUUUCAAAGUCAAGCUGGAGCUGGAGGUCUGGGAAGGUCCACAGCUGUGCUCUGAAAGAACCUUGUCUGAGUCUAAGAGAGCUCGUCACACAGUGCCUGGUAUGUGGAACAACUCAAUAAAGGAAGCCAAGUGGUUCUGAAAAGAAAG
This 179-nucleotide long non-coding RNA is filed under the name Sus scrofa (pig). RNAcentral describes it as "lncRNA (ENSSSCG00070024587.1)". Lineage: Eukaryota; Metazoa; Chordata; Mammalia; Artiodactyla; Suidae. The record is from RNAcentral.